Molecule: ribosomal RNA, 492 nt
Filed under: uncultured bacterium
Lineage: Bacteria
Description: partial 16S ribosomal RNA
Rfam family: Bacterial small subunit ribosomal RNA
Source: RNAcentral
AGUGAACGCUGGCGGUAGGCCUAACACAUGCAAGUCGAACGGCAGCACAGUAAGAGCUUGCUCUUACGGGUGGCGAGUGGCGGACGGGUGAGGAAUACAUCGGAAUCUACUUUUUCGUGGGGGAUAACGUAGGGAAACUUACGCUAAUACCGCAUACGACCUACGGGUGAAAGCAGGGGAUCUUCGGACCUUGCGCGAUUGAAUUAGCCGAUGUCGGAUUAGCUAGUUGGCGGGGUAAAGGCCCACCAAGGCAACGAUCCGUAGCUGGUCUGAGAGGAUGAUCAGCCACACUGGAACUGAGACACGGUCCAGACUCCUACGGGAGGCAGCAGUGGGGAAUAUUGGACAAUGGGCGCAAGCCUGAUCCAGCCAUACCGCGUGGGUGAAGAAGGCCUUCGGGUUGUAAAGCCCUGUUGUUGGGAAAGAAAAGCAGCAGGUUAAUACCCCGCUGUUCUGACGGUACCCAAAGAAUAAGCACCGGCUAACUUCGUG